Coregonus clupeaformis (lake whitefish) is the source of this 411-nucleotide long non-coding RNA. RefSeq lists it as uncharacterized. NCBI's taxonomy places the organism in Eukaryota, Metazoa, Chordata, Actinopteri, Salmoniformes, Salmonidae. The record is from RefSeq and is a predicted model, not a curated record. The transcript has 2 exons.
UUCCAGGGGUAUGAAGCUGAAGUUGGAACCAAGGGUGACUUUGAUGAAAGAAGAUACAAUGUUAUUUUGCUUUUACAAGCACUUUAAAGAAAGGGCCAUGAGACGAGCAGGAAAGCUGGACCUCACAAAGAACAGAGAGGAAAUUUGGAAACAAUAACCCCGGCUUCGGCAACGUCCACGAGUUGGAUUUCACAAAGAGCAGUCUUCCAUAACAUGCUGAUAAAACCAUGACUUAACAGUUUCUCUUUCUUCUCAUAUUUCUCCCUCCCCAGUGCUGCUGUUUUUCACGACUCAUGAAUGUCCUGACAGAUGGUAUCAAUAGCUCAUCUAUAUUCUCAUAUUUCUAUGAAUGUAGCAUACAUCACCAACUUGAAAAGUUAGGAUUGUUAAUAAUAAAAUAUCUUUGCUUGA